UCUUCCACAAUGGGGGAAACCAUGAUGGAGCAACUCCGCGUGCAGGAUGAAGGCCUUCGGGUCGUAAACUGCUUUUAUGAGUGAAGAAUAUGACGGUAACUCAUGAAUAAGGGUCGGCUAACUACGUGCCAGCAGCCGCGGUCAUACGUAGGACCCAAGCGUUAUCCGGAGUGACUGGGCGUAAAGAGUAGCGUAGGUGGUUAGUAAAGUGAAUAGUGAAACCUGGUGGCUCAACCAUACAGACUAUUAUUCAAACUCACUAACUCGAGAAUGGUAGAGGUAACUGGAAUUUCUAGUGUAGGAGUGAAAUCCGUAGAUAUUAGAAGGAACACCAAUGGCGUAGGCAGGUUACUGGCCAUUUCGACACUGAGGCACGAAA
This 379-nucleotide ribosomal RNA is filed under the name uncultured bacterium. RNAcentral's name for it is "bacterial SSU rRNA". It matches the Rfam family "Bacterial small subunit ribosomal RNA", at positions 362 to 758 of the family's 1533-position model. The record is from RNAcentral.